Molecule: long non-coding RNA, 3699 nt
Filed under: Canis lupus familiaris (dog)
Lineage: Eukaryota; Metazoa; Chordata; Mammalia; Carnivora; Canidae
Description: lncRNA (ENSCAFG00000054246.1)
Source: RNAcentral
CCAGUGGGAUUUGAUCUAAGUGUUCUGACUCUGAAGUUCAUGAUUCUGUCCACUAGAGACUCCCGGAUUCAGACAAACAGUCCAAGAAAGCAAGCACGGUGAUAAAUUCAUGAAGCAGGACAUGAAGUUGGAAGAACAAAAUGAAAUACCUGAGAUGACAAGCAGCUGAAAUAUUGUGAUAUAUAAUCAUGCUUAUAGCUUCAGUGAAGUCCUUGUAUACUGAACCAGCGUCAUAAUCAGGCUUAUUUAGAAAGCAUUUUGAACUAUGCUAUAGAAGAUCAUAUCAGAAUUCACAUUAUACAGAUGUGUUCACAUCCACGCUGUGGUAUUUUCAUGUAUUUAUAUGUGUGUUAUAAAUACUUGAUUUAUACAUAGACAGACACACAGGCACAGUGUGUCUGUGUGCUUAUGUAUAAAUGUUUAGGCACACAGUAAUAGAGAUAAUUCUAAGUAGGGUGCAGUAUGAAUAAUUUGCUUAAAAUCUGCUAAAUAACCAAAACUUUUUAAUGCCCUAUUGCGGUUAGUGCUUCCAUUCUCCAUGUGGGUAGGACUACAUCGCACUUUUCAACUCUGUGCAGUACUGCAUGGGUGGAAGACAUAUUUAAGGUAAUGUGCUUCCCAAAACAACUGAAUCAAAGCCAUCCCACUACAUUGAGUCCUUUCCCUGGCUCCUUGCAAAGGAGAAUGCAGACUGAAAUAGAUCUCCUUAUGUAAAGGUCCAGGAAAGGAAAAUUGAUUUUUUUCCAUCUUUUUGCACAUUUGUAUCAUGCUCACCUUGUCCCACUGUGACCCCUUUACACUUGUGUUCAGAGUCCAAGCAUUCCAGAAGAGAAUCAGAAUGUCGGGAACCCAGUGUCUCAAAAGUCAGUGGUGAGAAGUCCAAGACCUCACCACAAGGCGAGCGACUCUUAGGAAUUUCCGUGUCUGAGUGGGAAUGCAAAGCAACAACAGUAUAAAAUGCUGUCCUUUGCAAAGAGCCAUGACAAAAGGAUCCCCUGGUCAAGAACAGACUUUUCUUUUUAACCUUUUCUUUUUGCAAAUCUUCUAUAAUGCCAAUGGUUUUAAACUGUAUAUCUAAUUAAAUAAAUGACUCCAUACACACACACCCUUAAUUCUCUUGCUCUCUCUCUCUCUCCCUCUUUCUCUUUUUCUCCCAUUUGAGGAUUUUUGUUUCCAAUGCUGAGUUCGGUUUGACACAUUACAGAAAAUGGGGAAUGGCUGGUGACCCAAUCCUCAAAUGGCUAAUGAAGGUUAAAGCACUUCCUUCACAGUGUGUAAUUGUGGCAUGCAGAGACUCCCAGGUUGUGAUAGCAAAUGUUCUUCUAAAGAAUUAGGGUUGGGAGGGAUUUGUAGUUAAAUAUGACAGCACGUGGAAGGCUAUUUUCUCAUUGUUAGGGCUAGAAUGAAUCACUGCUGCUCAAGUCAAAGGCUCUUGAAUAUUCUCAGUUUUUGCAUUGUGCCCCCUUUUCCUUCUACUUUUAUUUAUGUAUUUAUUUAUGUAUGUAUUUAUUUAUUUAUUCAUUCAUUCACUUACUUAUAUAUUUUUUUGGCUCCAUUCAUCACAAACACAAAGCAAAGCAAAAAAAUAUAUAUAUGUGUGUGUAUAUGUGUUGCAGGCAAAACACUGUGAAAUUCACAACAGCAACCAAGCAACUCUUUUUGCCAUCUUAACAUACGUCUCAGGAGACGAAAUGGAAACACAUGGGGAUGUCAUUCUUUUAGUCUAUGCAUUCUAGGCCAGGUCCGUGUUUGGUUUUUUUUUUUCCCCCUUUGGUCUGUGCAUUAAUGAAAAGGAUCCUGAGUGAAGGUUGGCUGAACGUUCAAUGUAACGGAGCAAGCAUAAUAAAAGCUACUAAUAGCCACAUGUUUGGACUGGAAAAAAAAAUCAGAGAAAAUGAAAUGAAAUGUAUAAAGGCCUACUACAUCUUGCAGCUUGUAUAUCUUACUAUUGCUUUAAUAAUGUAUAAAACAACUGGAAAUGUUUUAAAUAUGAGGUCUUUGAAUUAAAUGUGGAUUUUAAAUAUGUAAUCCCUUGACAAAUGACCAAAUUCUUGUGAAAUAUUGCUCCCUGCAUUCACUGAUCAUUACCUAUCACUUACAAAUCUGCCUAGAGAUGUGGGACACUCUCUGCAUCUGCUUCUGUACAUGGAGAGAUGUUUGUAUAUAUCCAGGCCAUUUACACACACACAUUUCAAUAUCUCUCUGAAGAUAUAUUGCCCUUUAAAUUGUGACCUGGUAUUUGGAACUCUCUUUUUAUUUGCUUUAUUUUCUUUUUAAUGUGACGUCUCUGUGCUGAUACUUACUGGUUCUUGUUUUGCGAUCUGUUUUGAGGUCCAUUGCUUUACUAAGACCCACUGCAUCUUGGCUGAUUUCAAAGUGACACCAGAAUAUCAGUGUUUAAAAAAAAAAAAGUUUUGUUUGUAAAUCAUGUGACCAGCUUCUCUCAACCUGACAUGGAAAGUCUCUUGUACUACAGUGUAUUUAAUAAAAAUGAUGUCUUACAAUAAAUAACAUCCUCCAAAAGAGACACUAAAAGUUACAUGAUGAUUACUUUAAAAAUGUAUAGCAUUUUCACAAGGCAUGUGUGCUCUUUUUACUGUCUAUCUGUCUGGAUUUUAAUAUGGUCACUGCAGAUGCGUACAGGGUUCAUGAGUUGAAGGCAAAAAGAGUAUGUGACCUUUGGAACAAGUUCCCUGGCUGAUCCUUCCAUAACCUGGCACUUUCAACUUCUAUCUCGGAUAACUGGAACAUCACUGUCCAGUAGAACUUUCUGCAAUGGCAUACAUGUUCUAUCUGCACUGUCCAACGUGGCUAGAUGGCAUUUGAAAUGUGGCCAGGGUGACUAAAGAACUGAACUUUACAUUUUACUUCAUUUUAAUUAGUUCACCUGUAAGUAGCCACGCGUGGCUCAUGGCUACCAUGUUGCCCAGCACAGAGGGAGAAGAUGGAAUCACUGUGAUUUCUAGUGGAUCAGACCUAAGAAAUCUGCCAAGAGACAAGUUGUGUAUCAUGGUAUCCCACGGUAGGGGCAUCUUUGAGGAUCAUAAUGGCUCAGGAGCGGUAGCCAAAUUAAAAAUGCCACAUUCUCUUGGCCUCUCAGUUAACCAGUGUUUCCUAAAUCAAAAAGGUGAAGGAAAGCAACAUACAGGUGACUUGUCGGGGGUCUUGUAUCCUGUCUCUGUCUCACCAGCAGGUGGCCCACCCACUCUUCUCCUCAGAAUCUCACCGUUGUGUUUUCCAGUGUCUGACCUCUUCCCCUCUACCUCCUGUGAGAGGAAAGGAGACAUCUGGGCAACAUUCCUGGUGGAGACUUCAGGAACAUAAAGUUUGGCAGUGGAUUAUCCCCAAAUCCGACUCCUCAGGAACUUUGCCUCAUGAAAGCUCCUCUCUCUGGUGCAGCUAAAGUUUUCCUUGAGUUAUAAAAAUAUGACCAGGUUAACACUAUCAGCAAGGACUUGGGGGAUUCAAAGCUACGUAAGGAGGGAAACAACUUGUUCAAAAAUCCAAAUCAGGGAUCCCUGGGUGGUGCAGCGGUUUGGUGCCUGCCUUUGGCCCAGGGCGCGAUCCUGGAGACCCGGGAUCGAAUCCCACGUCGGGCUCCCGGUGCAUGGAGCCUGCCUCUCUCUCUGCCUGUGUCUCUGCCUCUCUCUCUCUCUCUCUGUGAGAUUAUCAUAAAUAAAUAAAAAUUAAAAAAAAAAA